CGAAGGGUGCAAGCGUUACUCGGAAUUACUGGGCGUAAAGCGUGCGUAGGUGGUUCGUUAAGUCUGAUGUGAAAGCCCUGGGCUCAACCUGGGAAUGGCAUUGGAAACUGGCGACCUAGAGUGCGGUAGAGGGUAGUGGAAUUCCCGGUGUAGCAGUGAAAUGCGUAGAGAUCGGGAGGAACAUCCGUGGCGAAGGCGACUACCUGGACCAGCACUGACACUGAGGCACGAAAGCGUGGGAAGCAAACAGGAUUAGAUACCCUGGUAGUCCACGCCCUAAACGAUGCGAACUGGAUGUUGGGUGCAACUAGGCACUCAGUAUCGAAGCUAACGCGUUAAGUUCGCCGCCUGGGGAGUACGGUCGCAAGACUG
This 372-nucleotide ribosomal RNA is filed under the name uncultured organism. RNAcentral describes it as "bacterial SSU rRNA". It matches the Rfam family "Bacterial small subunit ribosomal RNA", at positions 526 to 896 of the family's 1533-position model. The record is from RNAcentral.